CUGGUUUUCCUAGCAUUUGGCACAGCCGCCAUACCAAAAACAACCUCAUUACAUACCCUGUCAUUGCAACAAAAUUAACAUCAUGCCCUUGCUCAGUGCAGAAGAAAAGCACUCCCCUACCCCUUCUUAUCACAUCUCUAACCUGUACAGCAAGUAUCAAGAACACAAAUUGACCAAAAAGACAUCAAGCCUCAUCCCCAGAUCA
RNAcentral lists this long non-coding RNA (205 nucleotides) under Theobroma cacao (cacao). RNAcentral's name for it is "long non-coding RNA (TCAC_LNC005797)". The record is from RNAcentral. Lineage: Eukaryota; Viridiplantae; Streptophyta; Magnoliopsida; Malvales; Malvaceae.